This 2356-nucleotide long non-coding RNA is filed under the name Nicotiana benthamiana. RNAcentral describes it as "long non-coding RNA (NBEN_LNC041587)". The record is from RNAcentral. Lineage: Eukaryota; Viridiplantae; Streptophyta; Magnoliopsida; Solanales; Solanaceae.
AUGUAAUAAAUAACCUCAAAUGCCAAGAUUAUUCCAUACUCUUUCUCAUAUCUGGAUGUGUCAGAGUUCUCUAAGGACCUCAAGGGAUCCGAGCAGUGCUCACACCUAGAUUUCAUAGCCAAGACCGAGUAAGUGCAGUAUGAAAAGGCCAUCUUUCAUGUGUCCAAGUUCUGGGGGAGCUCAAGGAUCCCAAGGCAAGUCUCACACAAAAGGGGAAGAAUGGUCUAAGAAUAGAGUAAGAGUGCUUAACGUAGUUUUGAAGAACUUAGUAAAAUAAUGUUGAGGUAAAAAUUUUAGGAGUAAAAAAGUUUUCAGGAAUAGUUUCUUUUAAAGAUACUAGGAGUUAUCAGUUUUGAGAAGAAUGCUAAGAGUAUGAGCAGCAAUUUUGAAAUCAUUCUUUGAGAGAAGCAUACUCAGUAAACAACCCAAUUAAUCAUAGAAUACCUAGAUUUACUUGACAAGAACACUUACAAACAUGGGUGAAAGGGAUUGGGAACAUAUAGGUUUUGAAACCACAUAAAUAAGGAAACAUUAAAUAUAACAAAUAUACAAAAACAGCUAUGAGUCUAUUGAAAAAAUCAGUCAUGGUAACAAACAUUUGAAACAUAGGGACGAAUGCAGCGGGAUCAUAUUAAAGACAAGUGUUUUGCUAAACGAAAUUUGAUAUACCAUUAGGGCCAACAGAAUACACUAGAAGACUAAGUAACAACAUGGUCAUACCAGUUAAGGGAGGGGUAAGGGAACUAAGUGAACAUGCUGGAAAAGUACCAAAGAACUAAGCAAAAUCUGAUAUAAUGAUUACACAUAAGGUAGAAUUUAGACAUGCUUAAUAACAACAAACAUCGAAACAAAUUGAAUAACUAGUAUAGGAACAACCAUGGAUGUAUAGGCAUGGAACAGAUAAAGUUGAGUUUCAGAAUUGAACUAGGAACAUAGCAGUAAAGGAAGCAAAAUGCAGAAAGUAAAGCAAGUAGAGCUCCAUAGUCUAGCCUUGGCUUGCAGCCAGCUAGACAAGUAGUUAGCACAAGUAGCAGAGAAAGAAGAUAGAGUUUGUGUGUGUGUGUGUGUAUUAUGAAUUAUUGUUUGUGUGUUAUGCUAGAGAAAGUGUAGAGUAUUUAUAGUUUGAGAAAAAGAAGGAAAAUAAGGUAAUAAAUACUGAGUUAGCACCAUUGUAGAAAUAAAACAAACAAGAAUCAAUUAAAGAUCAGGACUCCAUUGAAUUAUGGAGUUAUAGCUCAAACGGGCACAAUUUAUAUCAAAUAAGGAAAAGAAUUGCUUAUACGACUGAUUUUACCAUGAUAGGAGUAGUAAGAACAUGUAGCAUGUAAUAAGGACUAAGUACAUAAUAUUUUCAUGUAAGAUAAGUACACGUUAAAUAACUAACAGCAUAGGUGGGCACAUAAAUAGGUAGAGCACAAUUUAAAUUCUGAUAAUUGAUUCAAAAAUCAUGAAUGAGAUUGAAAAUCAUAGGGAAUUAGAACUAACUAAGGAAAGUAUCACAAAAAUAAGGAAGAAAUUCGAAAAAUAAGUACAAGAUUAUAAGGAAAAUACACAAAAUCAUAUAUUCGGGGAAUAUAUUGCAAGUCUAAGGAGAUGACACAAAAAUCAAUAUAAAUUAACAUGUGAACAAUCAAUAAAACAAAUAGUUGGACCUAUUAAACAAUAAAUAACAUGUUUGAACAAAAUCGAAGAAAAUCUGAAAACUUAUUAGAGUAGGAAGCACAACAGUAUAUAGAACAUACAUGAAACCUAAAAUGUUUAUGACAGACAUGCAAGCACAUCACAAACAGACUCAAAUAUCAAAUAGAACCUAGAAGUAUUAGGUUUCUUAACAAAAAUGAAUCGAGCAAAAGGAAAGACUCAGGUGAUGCUUAAACAUGUUAAAAAUCAUAAAGUAAUUGCUAAAAAUCAGAAAGAAAUCAUUUUUUCAAAAUGGUUUUGAAACCCUAGUCUGGUAAAUAAAGAAAUCGUUUGAAAUCAGAGAAAUAUUUUGAGGAAAAAAGGUGAGAACCUUAAAAGACACAUAGAUCCAUCACAUAUCUAAAAAGAUCGGAGGAUUUAUAGCUAUAGUUUCUAGAGAAAACCCAAAUGAGGAGAAGAUGGCUUAAAUAUCACUGACCUUUGGCUGGAAAAUGUAGUGAUCUUACUUAAACUUCCAUAGGUGGCCAAAAAAUAUAGCGAAAGACCAUGGAUAGGAGUUGAAUUGCUCCAGGUUGACCUAAGGACCUCAGGGCAGUGUCAAACUGUUGUAGGGUGAAGCAUAGGCCAGAAGAUGAUAAGAGGCCAUGGUUUUUGGUGAGGGAGGUGGCCAGAAAAGGUGGACAGUGAUAGGGUUUGAGGGUGUCUGAGAGAGAAG